AGAGUGUGUGUGUGUGUGUGUGUGUGUGUCAGUGGGAGAAAGAAAAGGAAAAGAGAGUUUGUACAGAGCAGUUACCCUCCCUCAGUUCCUUAGGCUUUGGGUCCUCAGCUUCUUCUUCUUCAUCAUCAUCAUCAUCAAACCCAGCAAUCACACAUAGCUACAUCGCAAGAUGACCCACUGAGGCUUCACCCUCUCAGCUUCUAUAUGGAUUCCGAUAAGGAAAUGACAUCUGCAGAAGUUGAUGGGAAUGAUGCAGUUACAGGCCAUAUCAUUUCCACUACCAUUGGAGGCAAGAAUGGGGAGCCCAAACAAACCAUCAGUUACAUGGCUGAGCGAGUUGUAGGCACUGGAUCAUUCGGAAUUGUUUUUCAGGCGAAAUGCUUGGAAACUGGAGAGACAGUGGCUAUAAAGAAAGUGUUACAGGACAGGCGGUAUAAAAAUCGUGAGCUGCAAUUGAUGCGGUUGAUGGAUCACCCAAAUGUGGUUUCCCUGAAGCAUUGUUUUUUCUCCACAACAAGUAAAGAUGAGCUUUUCCUGAAUUUGGUCAUGGAAUAUGUUCCUGAAACAAUGUACAGGGUUUUGAAGCACUAUAGUAGUAUAAACCAACGGAUGCCACUCAUCUAUGUGAAACUCUAUACAUACCAAAUGUUUAGGGGUUUGGCAUAUAUCCAUACUGUUCCUGGAGUUUGCCACAGAGAUGUAAAGCCUCAAAAUCUUUUGGUUGAUCCCCUCACUCACCAGGUUAAGCUUUGUGACUUUGGAAGUGCUAAAGUCUUGGUCCAGGGUGAAGCAAACAUAUCAUAUAUAUGUUCUCGUUAUUAUCGGGCUCCAGAACUCAUAUUUGGUGCAACAGAAUAUAACACUUCGAUUGAUAUUUGGUCAGCUGGUUGUGUAUUGGCUGAGCUUCUUCUGGGCCAGCCAUUGUUUC
RNAcentral lists this unclassified non-coding RNA (928 nucleotides) under Hevea brasiliensis (rubber tree). The record is from RNAcentral. Lineage: Eukaryota; Viridiplantae; Streptophyta; Magnoliopsida; Malpighiales; Euphorbiaceae.